UACGAAGGGGGCUAGCGUUGUUCGGAAUCACUGGGCGUAAAGCGCACGUAGGCGGAUCUUUAAGUCAGGGGUGAAAUCCCGAGGCUCAACCUCGGAACUGCCUUCGAUACUGCGGGUCUCGAGUCCGGGAGAGGUGAGUGGAAUUCCUAGUGUAGAGGUGAAAUUCGUAGAUAUUAGGAAGAACACCAGUGGCGAAGGCGGCUCACUGGCUCGGUACUGACGCUGAGGCGCGAAAGCGUGGGGAGCAAACAGG
Molecule: ribosomal RNA, 253 nt
Filed under: uncultured bacterium
Lineage: Bacteria
Description: partial 16S ribosomal RNA
Rfam family: Bacterial small subunit ribosomal RNA
Source: RNAcentral